Molecule: long non-coding RNA, 658 nt
Organism: Rosa rugosa (rugosa rose)
Lineage: Eukaryota; Viridiplantae; Streptophyta; Magnoliopsida; Rosales; Rosaceae
Exons: 4
Source: RefSeq, a predicted model, not a curated record
GAGAAAGUGAAAUAAAAACAGAAAAAUCGAGACAACCCGAGCCAAGCCCGAGCUGCCCCCCCCUUCUCCUUUCUUCUUCGCGUGAACAGUAACCGAGAGAGAGAAAAUCCGGCAAUUCGUCGCCGUCCGGCCACCCCAACGUGCACCGCUCAUCUUGGCUUGAUCCUCUCUUCCUUCUCUUCCUAAUUAUCUGGUGGUGGUCUGUGGAGGAAGAUUGGAAGGUGUUGGGCGGGUGAACAGUGCCAUGAACAGUAACUGUCGAGUUCUUGGUUUUUGUUUGAUUUCUCCGGCCAUUUCUGCUUGAUUUUGAUUGUAGUUGCAGGACGUACUGAGCCCUCGAGCGAGGAGGACACGGGCAGGCAGCAGGAUUAGCUGCGAGACUCAUUAUUUCAGAUUUGCCGAGAUCGCGUCCAGGCUCUAAAGACUGUGGCAUCAGCGCUUCCGUUUUUGUCCGUAGGUUAUUACUUAACCUACCUUGUAUGAUAUCGGCUUACUUAUUAGCGUUGCUCUGAUAACCCUUUCCAAUUGAUGGAUGUUGUUGUUCGAACUGUUGUUGUUGUUGAAGUUAUGUUGGGAUUUGAAUUGUUCCACAUGUAAUAUUAUGUUUAGAAUGUAAAUCUUUUAUGAUGGGUUGAGUGAAAGUUAAGGUUUUAAUUUA